CAGCGCCACGAGUGGGGACUGUAAUUAUUGGGCCUAAAGCGUCCGUAGCCGGUUCGAUAAAUUUUUUGUGAAAUUGUUGGGCUCAACUCAACACCGUGCAGAAAAGACUGUCAAACUUGGGACUGGGAGGAGUCAGAAGUAUCUUUGGGGUAGCGGUAAAAUGUUAUAAUCCUAAAGAGACUACCAGUGGCGAAAGCGUCUGACUAGAACAGGUCCGACGGUGAGGGACGAAAGCCAGGGGAGCAAACCGGAUUAGAGACCCGCGUAGUCC
RNAcentral lists this ribosomal RNA (271 nucleotides) under uncultured archaeon. Its description in RNAcentral is "partial 16S ribosomal RNA". It matches the Rfam family "Archaeal small subunit ribosomal RNA", at positions 477 to 747 of the family's 1478-position model. The record is from RNAcentral.